Molecule: ribosomal RNA, 482 nt
Filed under: uncultured bacterium
Lineage: Bacteria
Description: bacterial SSU rRNA
Rfam family: Bacterial small subunit ribosomal RNA
Source: RNAcentral
UACGUGCCAGCAGCCGCGGUAAUACGUAGGGCGCGAGCGUUGUCCGGAAUUAUUGGGCGUAAAGAGCUUGUAGGCGGUUUGUCGCGUCUGCUGUGAAAGGCCGGGGCUUAACCCCGUGUAUUGCAGUGGGUACGGGCAGACUAGAGUGCAGUAGGGGAGAUUGGAACUCCUGGUGUAGCGGUGGAAUGCGCAGAUAUCAGGAAGAACACCGAUGGCGAAGGCAGGUCUCUGGGCUGUAACUGACGCUGAGGCGCGAAAGCCAGGGGAGCGAACGGGAUUAGAUACCCCGGUAGUCCUGGCCGUAAACGAUGGGUACUAGGUGUAGGAGGUAUCGACCCCUUCUGUGCCGGAGUUAACGCGAUAAGUACCCCGCCUGGGGAGUACGACCGCAAGGUUGAAACUCAAAGGAAUUGACGGGGGCCCGCACAAGCGGUGGAGUAUGUGGUUUAAUUCGACGCAACGCGAAGAACCUUACCAGGUCU